UCCAGGAUUCCCAUUCUUAGCACUAAUUGAGACAACAAUAGUUACUAGUAGUGAGCUCAAGUAGCUUCCUAGUGCAUUAGUGGCGAGUGAGAGAGCAGAGCACAAACUUCUCAUGGCAUCAGGUGCUUCCUCGUAGAAGAAUUCCAACUGUCCAAUGAAGCUAGCAUGGACAAGAUGGAUAUGAAGAGCCCAAUGCCCAUUCGCUGGAGUUGAGUCAAUCCACUUUUGUGACCGGUGAAUCUUCUGGCAACAGGGACAAUGAUUUGAUCAUAAACUGGGACCCAGAAAAUGACACUGAAGAUGUCGAAAAUACCAAGUGAUGGUGGUGGGAUCCUGAAGUUAGUGUUGCCAACACGAGUAUCCAUUCUCUCACCUUGCAACGAAAAAAAAUUGCUCAUUUGGUUAUAUACAGCAGAGAAGAUGAUACCAGUUGCAAAUAUUGGAAGCAAUCGCACAAUGCCUUUCAGCUCCUCAACUUGGGUCACUGAGCAUAGUCUCCAUGGGUUUAUUGAGCCCCCCUUAUGAUCUGAUUGUUUCUGCACAGCUGCCUUAUCCAAGAAACUGCAUUUAACAACAUUGGAUUACUGGAUGCCCUCUAAUUAGGCAGAUCAAUCACUUAUAGAGUAUUAAAUGAAUGCUAAAUGAAAACCUUGUUAAAAUAAACAGAGGAACCAUUUUUCACGUCCUUGCAUUUUGACUGAAAACAGCAAGCCAAACUCAUCAAUUCCGAUGCUCACCUAAAAUCUUUGGUGUGAUCAAUCUUGCGGCUUCCUUUGAUAGCAGAUUCGGUAUCAGCAGUCUCAUACAAAAGAGUCUUAUCUGCUGGAACUCUAACCCUAUAUUUCUUCACAGAAGCUACUAGCACCUGACAGAUUCUUGUCAGAGGGCUACCUCCGGGCUUCUGGUUCCGAUACAGGCGAGUACCAGAAAAGAAACUUGCUACUGCAAUUGCCAUGGCCACAGCUGGGAUUCCAAAACCCCAUCCCCAACCCACAUUGUCUUGUACCCAAACCAGCACAGACGUGGCAACAAGUGCACCGACAUUGAUUGAAAAAUAGAACCAAUUGAAGAAAGAGCUCUUUUGUUUCUUCUCGGUUUCAUCAGCAUCAUCAAACUGAUCUGCUCCAUAGGUUGAGACACAAGGCUUAAUCCCUCCAGUUCCGAGUGCUAUCAGGUAAAGGGCUAUGAAGCAGACUGCACUCUGUGUAUGUGUUGGGUUGCAAUCAUCUUUUGCAUAACAGAAUGGCUUUAUGCCGGGCACCGAUGCUGACAAUGUCAACAGGGUCAUUCCCUACAUGGAAUUGAGAUAUUUCAGUGUGCACAAUGCAAGAUGAAAUUCAACAAACCGGACUUACAAUGACAUAGAUGAUUGAGAAGACUGCAAUAGUCCAGUAUCUUCCUAGAUAGGCAUCAGCAAGAAAUGCUCCGAUGAGCGGUGUGAUGUAGCAUGUACCAGACCAAUCUGAUUGAUUCUUAGCAGCAGUUGCACUCUGCUGGUUGAGUUGAUGCUUGAAAUAAAGCACCAAGUUGGAGCUCAUUCCAUAGUAUGCCAAUCUUUCGCAGCAUUCAUUCCCUGCAGGUGUGGCACAAAUCUGAAGAUGGAAAUUUGAUCAAACAGAUGAUGAUGAUGAUGAUGAUGAUGAUGGCUUCAUUAAAAACUCCGAGGAUGUUUCAAAGUGUUUCAACAGACAUUUAUGCUAUAUGUAUGAUGCCAACAGCUAAGGAUGGAGAAACCUCUGCUAGUUCGGCAAGAGGUGCGUUAGUUCAAGGAGCAUCCUUAAUUUCCCCUCCUGUUUUUAAAUGAUUUUUUGUUCUUCUUCUGUGUGUUGAGACCUGCUAUCUCAUAUAAGCAUGCAAUCUAGUUAGCCUAGCAUAUUUAAUAUAUGUUUUGAUGUUGGGUAUAAUUAAUAAAUUUUAAGUCCUAAUUUGAAUAAUGAAAAACCUAUCUCAUUUUACA
This is a long non-coding RNA of Camellia sinensis, 1957 nucleotides long. RefSeq lists it as uncharacterized. Lineage: Eukaryota; Viridiplantae; Streptophyta; Magnoliopsida; Ericales; Theaceae. The record is from RefSeq and is a predicted model, not a curated record.